UGGGGAAUAUUGGACAAUGGGCGCAAGCCUGAUCCAGCCAUGCCGCGUGAGUGAUGAAGGCCCUAGGGUUGUAAAGCUCUUUCAACGGUGAAGAUAAUGACGGUAACCGUAGAAGAAGCCCCAAGUAACUUCGUG
RNAcentral lists this ribosomal RNA (135 nucleotides) under uncultured bacterium. RNAcentral describes it as "partial 16S ribosomal RNA". It matches the Rfam family "Bacterial small subunit ribosomal RNA", at positions 355 to 507 of the family's 1533-position model. The record is from RNAcentral.